This 447-nucleotide ribosomal RNA is filed under the name uncultured bacterium. RNAcentral describes it as "bacterial SSU rRNA". It matches the Rfam family "Bacterial small subunit ribosomal RNA", at positions 100 to 565 of the family's 1533-position model. The record is from RNAcentral.
GGACGGGUGAGUAACGCGUGGAUAACCUGCCUCACACUGGGGGAUAACAGUUAGAAAUGACUGCUAAUACCGCAUAAGCGCACAGUACCGCAUGGUAUAGUGUGAAAAACUCCGGUGGUGUGAGAUGGAUCCGCGUCUGAUUAGCUAGUUGGUGAGGUAAAGGCCCACCAAGGCAACGAUCAGUAGCCGGCCUGAGAGGGUGAACGGCCACAUUGGGACUGAGACACGGCCCAAACUCCUACGGGAGGCAGCAGUGGGGGAUAUUGCACAAUGGGGGAAACCCUGAUGCAGCGACGCCGCGUGAGUGAAGAAGUAUUUCGGUAUGUAAAGCUCUAUCAGCAGGGAAGAAAAUGACGGUACCUGACUAAGAAGCCCCGGCUAACUACGUGCCAGCAGCCGCGGUAAUACGUAGGGGGCAAGCGUUAUCCGGAUUUACUGGGUGUAAAG